Peromyscus eremicus (cactus mouse) is the source of this 1205-nucleotide long non-coding RNA. RefSeq lists it as uncharacterized. The record is from RefSeq and is a predicted model, not a curated record. The transcript has 5 exons. NCBI's taxonomy places the organism in Eukaryota, Metazoa, Chordata, Mammalia, Rodentia, Cricetidae.
GGAAAUGUCUUGCCACAAUUCAACUUGCAUGUCGGUGGGUGUGUUCGUGGGUGGGUGUGUGGCUCCGUCCAGUACGUACGUGGGUGUGGAGGCCGGAGGACAACCUCAGGUGUUCCUCAGGCACCAUUCACCUUGUUUGUUUUGUUGUUGACCUGGAACUUGCCAACUAGCUUCCUCGGCACGGUUCCAUCUCCACCCUCCCAUCUCAACGGACAACCAGGUCUCCCCACGGCACAGUUACUCCUUUGUUUCCUCAACUCUAACACUUGGUUGAAACAGGACAGUCUGAGUCAAUGGCCCCUUCCCAACCUCUGGCCCCCUGCAAUUUAUUCUAACAGAUUUUCUUUCCCUUCGAUUCUUGUCUCACAACCAAGAAGAAUAAAGUCUGUAAGCAACAACCCAAAGUGAGCCAAGGAAAGAGGUGCAUGUUAAUAGCGACUGGAGGAACCUGGAGGUUAGCAUGGGCUUUGAUAUGUAACCACAGGUAUAUUCCAAGAGAAAUGGCCCUUUCUGGCAAGCAGAAUCCUGUUCCAUAUGUGUCUGAGGAAUGCUGCCAUCAAUCCUUCUCUGCCUUUUGGAGUUUGGGACCUAACAGGCUGAAAUCAUCUCCCCAGCCCUGGAAGCUUCCAAAUCAACCAUGGCCUCUUUGAAAAGCCCCUGUCCACAACUGAAUACAUGAACUAAGAGAGGGCCAUGUCAUUUGUCAAAAUGUCAUCAGCUCUGGUCCUGAGAAGGAACUGCAGUGCCAGAGGAAGCGGGAAUGGACAGAGCUGGAGGCUACACAGGACUGCCUGAGUCUCAGGCCCCAAGCCGAGACCUGGGUAGGGUGCCGUGGUCUGAGGCUUCUGACCCAGGCACCUGUUGCCAGGGUCUGAACUUGAUGCUGCAAAGGGGCUUCAAUCUCAGCGACAGAACCUCACCAAUUCAAGAUUCAUAAACAACCUCGCCCGAAUCUGUGCAGAACUUGCUCGAGGGUGCAGUACCUCUUUGAUGGAUUUUUUUUCCCCAGCAUUUUCUUUCUCAUCUUGGGCUCCUUUGCUCCUCAAAGGCUGUCCUCUGACACCACAUGGAAGCCAGCUUUCCCCCAGAAUCCCUUGCAUCUUCCCCCCCCACAGUGCCUAAUACACACCCAGUGCCUAAAUGUACACCCACAGUUGUUACCUCUGCUGUAUGCACCCACAGACUUCAAACUCAAAUAUGCAAAC